CGAAGGAAGAGAUUCWUCGUCAGCGUAUUCAGUAUUAAUGCAGGCUAUGAUGUGAUGAUAGAAUCCUUGUGGUCACUAGAUUAUACUUGCUUGUAUUAUUUUUGCUGGGUAGGUCGGCGUGCACUUCUCUUCUAGUAGAACGUCGCAACCCGUUGGAUGUUUAUUUAUGGCCUAAAUGGUAGCCUCUGAUAUUUUAAAAUAUCGAAGACCUUUGGUGUCCUGAUAAGCUGUCUGACGGUAAACAUAUAGUAUUGAGCCGCAAUUAUUUGCGUUAGACUUACCGCAAGUAAGAUUUUAGUCUAGUAGUGCAGAUCUAAUGCUGUCGCUGGGCAAAGUCUACUGUUAGCUGUGUAAUGUCUUUUACUGGCUUAUUUACUGGUUAGCGAUG
Molecule: ribosomal RNA, 388 nt
Filed under: Diolcogaster sp. HD-363
Lineage: Eukaryota; Metazoa; Arthropoda; Insecta; Hymenoptera; Braconidae
Description: partial 28S ribosomal RNA
Source: RNAcentral